CCGGCAGCAGGAGGAGGAGGAGGAGGAGGAGGAGGAAGAAGAGGAGGAGGAGACGGCCUUCUUCCCUCCCGCCGCCCAGCGCGGAGGCAGGUUGAGCCGCGGCGAGGCUGGGAGGCCGGCGGCGGAGGCUCGGCGGAGUCCCGGGAGCCGAGGAGGGCUCGGAGCAGCGAGCGGCUCGGCGGCGGGGCAGGUGGCGGCAGCCGAGCGGCGCUCCAGGACUGAGAGCGGAGGCCGGGAGGAGGAGCCCGGCCUCGGCGCCUCCCCGAGCCGGCCCCCCCGGGGAGGAGAGGGGUGGGUUCGGCUCCCAGACCCCCCAGGCCGGGCGGGGAGGUGCUGCCGAGCUGUCAUCCACAAGGACCAGAAUGAAGAGCAGGGAAAGGCUGAGCCAGAGAUAACAGAAGGAAAGCACAAGGUCUUUGUGGCUGAAAAUUCAGGCAGUCACCAGGAGGAGCCCUGAUGUUAGUGGGAGUACUUGAGCCUUGGGACUCAGGGAACAUGAGGUCACAUCUUCCUGACCAUGCCCUUCAUGGACCUGCUGAGCAGAGGCUGAAAACUGGAAGGAGCACAGGAAUCCAAGCUGCUGCUUUCUGGGUGGAGAUGCUAGCAGCUUCCUCCCAUGGGGAGAGCACCUUACUCUCUUUGGUCUGGGGUAGUAAACCAAGGACUUUUCCUUUGUUGCAAUGAUCCUCAACUUGCAUAGAUGGAUUAUUCUAUUCCUCUAGAAAAGGAGAAUUUCUGUAUUCCUUCCCCUGCUCAUUGUAUAUGCUGUGCUGGCCACCUGAGUUUCCUGCCUUCUUUGCAAGAUAAUGACAUAUGGAUGGUCGUUAACCUUUCAAUCCCCUAGUCAUUUUUAAGGAUUUAGUUGACAGUGGUCAUGGUGCCAUGUUUAUAAGUCUUAGAUGAUAUAUAAUGCAGAGUUCUCUGAGGUCUAUCCCAAUUGUAACACCAAGUGCCAUUCACACUGGUGACUUCAUAAUGUGUGCAAGUACUCAUGUUGCCUUUAAGAUUAAUGCUUUUGUAUAAUGUAAUAAAAGCAUUUAACACAGGCUACCCUACA
RNAcentral lists this long non-coding RNA (1057 nucleotides) under Anser brachyrhynchus (Pink-footed goose). RNAcentral describes it as "lncRNA (ENSABRG00000007499.1)". The record is from RNAcentral. Lineage: Eukaryota; Metazoa; Chordata; Aves; Anseriformes; Anatidae.